AUGCUCACUUUAGCAGCACAUAUUGUAAAAUUGAAGCCAUACAGAGAAGUUUAGCAUGGCCCCUGCACAAGGAUGACACAAAAUUUGUGAAGCAUCCUAUAUUAUA
Small nuclear RNA from Erinaceus europaeus (western European hedgehog), 106 nucleotides. The record is from Ensembl. Lineage: Eukaryota; Metazoa; Chordata; Mammalia; Eulipotyphla; Erinaceidae.